AUCUCCAGCUCUAAACUCUCUUUUAAAGAUCUUCUUGUCAUGAAAAGCUUUGGUUUUCUCCUUGUAGAUCAUUGAGUUCUCAAAAGCAUCCAGUCUAAUCUCAUCAAGCUCAUUGAGUUGGAGAAGUCUCUUCUCCUUGGCACUCUUGAUGUCAAAAUUCAGCAACUUAACAGCCCACAAUGCCUUGUACUCAAGCUCAACUGGUAGAUAACAAGCUUUUCCAUACACAAGGUUGAAAGGUGUGGUUCCCAAAGGAGUUUUGUAAGCCGUCCUAUAAGCCCAAAGCGCAUCAUCAA
This 296-nucleotide long non-coding RNA is filed under the name Brassica napus (rape). Its description in RNAcentral is "long non-coding RNA (BNAP_LNC009739)". Lineage: Eukaryota; Viridiplantae; Streptophyta; Magnoliopsida; Brassicales; Brassicaceae. The record is from RNAcentral.